UAGAGGUGCUAUCCAUGUUAGUCACGGUUAAGUACCACUAGUGGCCGUCAUGAUGUGGGCGGUAUAAAAGCAGCCAUCCUCCACCUGCCUCUUUCUUUUUGCGCUCCUGUCACUUGCGCGUCACUUCCGGGCCAAAAGGUAGUCUGGUCCGAUAGGGCGACUAUUUGUUGCUGCUUCAGGGUUUUCGUGCGAGCUAUGGUGUAAACGCUGAUGACGGCCGGAGUCCUCUCUCACUCCCUCCUCCUGUGUGAACGCGAGUGUGUGUGUGUGUGUGUGUGUAUGCCAGUGUUUGGUCGUAAACAGGACCAACUGCAAUCAGCUCAUUGGGGUCGCUGCUGCUUUGCCAGGCUGAUCUUGCCUUCCCACGCUACUCUGCUUUGCCAGGCUGAUC
Gadus macrocephalus (Pacific cod) is the source of this 391-nucleotide long non-coding RNA. RefSeq lists it as uncharacterized. The record is from RefSeq and is a predicted model, not a curated record. Lineage: Eukaryota; Metazoa; Chordata; Actinopteri; Gadiformes; Gadidae. The transcript is spliced from 3 exons.